RNAcentral lists this ribosomal RNA (465 nucleotides) under uncultured bacterium. Its description in RNAcentral is "partial 16S ribosomal RNA". It matches the Rfam family "Bacterial small subunit ribosomal RNA", at positions 28 to 507 of the family's 1533-position model. The record is from RNAcentral.
GACGAACGCUGGCGGCGUGCUUAACACAUGCAAGUCGAACGGAAAGGCCCUGCUUGCAGGGUCCUCGAGUGGCGAACGGGUGAGUAACACGUGGGUGAUCUGCCCUGCACUUCGGGAUAAGCCUGGGAAACUGGGUCUAAUACCGGAUAGGAGCCAUUUUUAGUGUGAUGGUUGGAAAGUUUUUUCGGUGUCGGAUGAGCUCGCGGCCUAUCAGCUUGUUGGUGGGGUAAUGGCCUACCAAGGCGGCGACGGGUAGCCGGCCUGAGAGGGUGGACGGCCACAUUGGGACUGAGAUACGGCCCAGACUCCUACGGGAGGCAGCAGUGGGGAAUAUUGCACAAUGGGCGCAAGCCUGAUGCAGCGACGCCGCGUGGGGGAUGACGGUCUUCGGGUUGUAAACUCCUUUCGCUAGGGACGAAGCUUUUUGUGACGGUACCUAGAGAAGAAGCACCGGCUAACUACGUG